Molecule: ribosomal RNA, 606 nt
Filed under: Carvalhoa sp. SLW-2002
Lineage: Eukaryota; Metazoa; Arthropoda; Insecta; Diptera; Acroceridae
Description: eukaryotic LSU rRNA
Rfam family: Eukaryotic large subunit ribosomal RNA
Source: RNAcentral
AGGGAAAGAAGACCUGUUGAGCUUGACUCUAAUCUGGCAGUGUAAGGAGACAUAAGAGGUGUAAAUAAGUGGGAGAUAAUUGAUUAAACCCUUUUAUCAACAAUGAAAUACCACUACUCUUAUUGUUUCCUUACUUACUUGAUAAAAUGGAACGUGUAUUAUUUACUUAGCCAUUACACGAAUAUAUUUAUACAUUUUAUGGUAUUUUGUUUUGAUACGAGUUUUUCGAUCAAAAUACUAAGAGUUUGUUAUAUAUACCAAACAAAUUUAAUGAAUUUUUUUAUAUAUAUAUAUCACAAUUGUGUUUAUUAUAUAUAUUUAAAAUAGUAAUUGAAUUUGGUAUAACUCCUACACUCAGGUAUGAUCCAAUUCAAGGACAUUGCCAGGUGGGGAGUUUGACUGGGGCGGUACAUCUCUCAAAUAAUAACGGAGGUGUCCCAAGGCCAGCUCAGUGCGGACAGAAACCACACAUAGAGCAAAAGGGCAAAUGCUGACUUGAUCUCGGUAUUCAGUACAUACAGAGACAGCAAAAGCUCGGCCUAUCGAUCCUUUUGGUUUAAAGGGUUUUUAACAAGAGGUGUCAGAAAAGUUACCACAGGGAUAACU